Molecule: long non-coding RNA, 3119 nt
Filed under: Malus domestica (apple)
Lineage: Eukaryota; Viridiplantae; Streptophyta; Magnoliopsida; Rosales; Rosaceae
Description: long non-coding RNA (MDOM_LNC005698)
Source: RNAcentral
UUUCCAACAAUCUCCCACUUGCACUAGAGCCAAUCAGCUUGGUCAUCAGUGAUGAUACCUCUUCUUUAGUCAUUUCAAAAAUGGCUAAGUAGUAGGUCUAGACAAUGGAUAUCUAUAUGUUAUCCAUAGAAGCAACCUUGAGAAUAACGACGUCACCAUUAUACAUGAUUCUCAAUCAUGUGGUUCAGUCUCUCAUUUGAGUUCAGAUCUUGAUGAGACCUUGAUUCCCUGGCUUGAGCUAUCGCCCCAUUAGUGUCGUAGUGUCGGUACACUUGAGACACUUUCUGGUUGGAACCGAAUAGAGAGUUCAUAAAUAAACUUUCCCAUCCAAACAACAUUGUUGUAAGCUUCUAUACGGCGAUAUAUUUUGCAUUCAUAAUGGAACACACUAAAGUCAUUACUUUUAAUGUUUCCAUCCAAAUAUCUCUUUAGUCAUAAUAAAGAGAUAUAUGAUUACCUCUUCAUUCAUAAUGAAGAAACAUCCAAUGAUGAAUUAGAUUCAUAAUUUAAUACAUUUACGCUUCCAUUACGUUACUCUAAUUCUUCCUCAUUCUUUGAGGAAUCUAUCCUUUAGUAUUUCUCAAAUACUUAAGGACUCACUUGACAGUUGCCAUGGUUCUGAUCCUGGGCUUGCACUGAUAUCGUCUUGUACCGUUCUAGGUACAACUCAUAUCAAUGUUUUCAUACAAUAUGAAAUACGUAAAUCACUUUUCUGCGUAUGCAUAAAGGAUUCUAUUUACGCAUUAUUUCUUUGGGAGUCAAAGGGUACGUUCCCUUUGAGAAGAGCUACCUCCUAGUUUUACUAGAGUUGUUCUUCUGAUUGAAGUUUAUCAUCAUAUGAGAAACUUCCUAGCAUCUUUUGUCUAUUAUUAGGGAUUGAUAUAAUCCAAUUAUAUCUUGAAAUCUAUCAUUGUAGAUUUCCAUCCCAUGUAUGUAGACUAUGUCUCCCAUAUACAUUCUAUCGUUAUAGAAUGUUUAAAGUCAUAACUUUAACGAAGAAGUAUUCCUUUUCAUUUCCAAAAUUAAUAUAUCAUAUAUUUGUAUAUCUAUAUAUAUAUAUAUUCAAAUUUAGGAACAUGAUUAACUCCCACUAAUCUUUUGUAAACCUAGUAAACAAAAGAUUCAUUUACAUCUUUAUGAGAAAUCAAACGAUUUGAUCUUUCUCUCAUAAGACGUUUAUAGCUCCCACUAGUUCGCUAAGAUCCAUGAUGGAUGGAUCUCUAUAACUUACAUGUCAUAGUUUUAGACAUAUAUUAUCAAGACUAUCUUAAUAAUGGUUUCGGAAACCCAUAUUAUGUCCAAACAUUGAAUCACCAUUUAGUUGUAGCUAGCAAUAUUCGAAUUAAUUGAAAACAAGACUACGUCAAAGAUGGUUUCUUCAAAGUCAACCAUUCUCUUUGAUUGUAGUCACCUUAAGCUACCAAUUAGCUUUAAAAGUUUCAUUAUUUCGGGUCAAAUGGUACUUUACCAUUUCCUUGAGUAUAUGUCGUAUAUACACUCAAUGUAGUCAUAAGGAUUUUCAUUCUUAUUUCUUUCGAAUUAAGAGGUGUAACUCUAUGACAUAGUCAUAAAGUUCAAACCAUUCAACUGAGAUAUUUAUAAAUCCUUAUCGACUACCUUGGAGCUUGUGGCGUAGGAGCUAGGUUGUUAUAUUUCUUGAUUAUCAUUUUGUCUCUCAAAGAACCCAUUCUUUGAGUUCUAUCUCUCGUUCAUUUGCGUUAGGCAAAUCAUAUUGUAGGAUUACAAUGAACUACCCAACAAACAACAUUUGUUAGUUGGUUUAUAGAAGUGAUAUCCAAAUGUUAAUUUAAGGAUACCCACAAGAUAAUUCUUUAAACAAAUAUUGCUUAUUAGCACACAACCCCAAAUCUUAACAUGAUUAAGAUUUGUCUUUCUUUCCAACUAUAUCCUAUGGAGUCAUAAAAAUUUUGGAAGAUCUUCUAUUUGACAAUCAUAUUGUCUUAGAAGUAUAUAUCCUAUAUAUGGGCAAUUGAUAACAUCCAACGAACUAAAUCUUAUUUCAAGUUCGUUCUUCUCUUAAUGGAGAAAUUCAUUAUCAUAUGAUGCUUCUUUCCUUGAUAUCUUUCAAGGAAACUAUUCUAAAGUGUUACCUUUCCUUGGAUCAAAUCUAAGGAGGUAAAUACUUUAGACAUCUUACUCAUCAACUUACAUUUCUUGAAUUCUUUGAAACCUUUUGCAAAGUAUUCGGACUUGUGUUUAUUCAAAAUAAAUGAUAGUCCAACCGAGAGCGAUCUUCGGUGAAUGUCAAACAACAUGAGUAGUAUUAUGUUGUGGACAAGUGCCACUAACAUCUAAGUGAAUUAACCUCAACAACUUUGUGAUUCUUUCCUCCUUUCCAAAAGAAUAAAGAUUCGAACAUUUCGCCUCUAUACAAUUUUAAUAAGAAGGUAUUGGAUCCGGAUCUAACGAUCAAAAGCAUCCAUCUAUGACCAACUCGUAAUUUAUGUUUUAGAGGUAUCACAACUCAGUUGGGAUUAGUCACUACCUUGCAACCUUUUGGGUUUUAAGCAUCGUUAUUUUCUAAACAGUUAACACUACCAUAUCAUCUCUACUAUAGAGACAAUCAAUUAGAUUACAAUAAUCUAAUCAUUCAUUAAUAAAGAACAAUGUUUUGUCAAACAAAACAUUCAUCCAUCCCUUAUAAUGAUGGAAUUAAGUUCCUUAAAAUUUGGAAUGUAAAGACAAUCUAUGGUUUUUCCAAUUUCUUUGGUAGUUCAUAUGAGGAAGUAAGUACCAUCUGCUUUCGCAGAGAUCUACAUUUGAUUCACGUUCCGAAUGUGAAGUACUUUCUCUUCUCUCAUUAAUCUUCUACUUUUUAUUAGCCACACUUUUACAACGAUUGGAAAACAUAGUUACUAAUACGGAAUCAAGCAUUCAAGUAGAAGAACCAACUGUUUUGAACUUUUCAAGAACAAUUUACAACACCUUCGAAAGGUGUGUUCUUGACACUUGCAAGACAUUUCUUGCAAAUACCCAUUCCAAUGUCCAUCCUUUCAUAAAGAAAGUUUGUUCCCUUGGAGUUUAUUUCACUUUCUUCAUUUGACUUCUCCUUUGACUACAAUAGUCAUGGUCCCUAAACUCCCACUAUCUCUCUUGAA